Long non-coding RNA from Phoenix dactylifera (date palm), 3913 nucleotides. RefSeq lists it as uncharacterized. NCBI's taxonomy places the organism in Eukaryota, Viridiplantae, Streptophyta, Magnoliopsida, Arecales, Arecaceae. The record is from RefSeq and is a predicted model, not a curated record.
UGCCACGAGCGCCCGCGGGCGCGCGCGCGCUCUUCUUCCCUUCUCUCUCUCGAGCUUCUUCUCUUGGCGGGAGUUGCGUCCAGUGUUCCUUCGGACCACGGUAGGCGCCUCCGCUGCAGCUUCUCCUGAGAGUCCGCCGUCCAAAUCCUAGAGUGGAUGAACGCUAUCGUCCAUUUUUCCCGGCCCUUCAAGCCCCUCCUCAACGCUCACGUCGCCAGUUUCUUCGAAGUCGCCUCUGAAACCAUAGCUUUCCUUCGAUUCCUUCCUUGAACCCUAGUUUCUGAUCUCACGCCGUUGGAUUCCACAGGAUAGGUGGUGGGAUAUGGUCGAUGAGCAGUGGAUUUAAUGCUUUCAGAAGGAAUCUGCUCCAUUGCUUCCAUUCUUUUUAUGUUUUAUCUUUCUCUGUUUAUAACAUGGAAUGGGGAUUUUCUUAAAAUUUAAAGCUUGUUUUGUUUUUAUCAAGUACUGGAAUUUUUGAUUAGCUAUACAGUGUAUAGAGUUGCACUCAUUUUUUAAUUUUUCUUCAUGGUUUAGUAUUCUCCUACUCUAUAUAAAUGAUGAAUCUACGUGGUGCUUGCAGAAUUGGAUGACUCUUUGGUUUGUCUUAGUUUUUACACUAAGCUACUUGCAGAACGUUGAAAAUUAUUCUGAAAAAAAGAAACCAACUUUCCCGAGAACGAUUGAACCUUGAUUUCAGAUACUGAGUUAAGUGAUGCAAUGUUGUAAAUUUGGUACAAACAGUGAGACUGGUGUUUGCAACACUGUGUUGGCUUGACAGAAAAUUGAGACGAUGACUAGAAAGAAAAUCAUGCUGGUAUAGUAGUAGUGUCUUUAUACACCUGGAUUCAUGUUGAUGCGCAGAAGGGGAAAUCUUGAUUCACUAAAGAAAAAGAAAAUGGAGGGGCUUAAUGUACUUGUAAUUUAUGUUUUUUGCAAUAUUUAUGAAAAUUGGAUUUUUUUAUGAUACAACAGAUUGAUUAUCUAGAGCUAAAAAAGGAAAGAAGAGAUAAAGAUAGCUUGAUACCUAAUUAUAUUGAUUUCCAGUAUCAUCUUUCUAUUGAUGCAUGUGGUUUUUAUGUAUAAGGAUCUAAUUGCUCCACUUUAUUCAUCUAUGUACAGGACUAUUGGCCCCAUUCCCUUCAAGAAUUUAUAUGCACUUUGAGGUCUCUUGUCUUUCCUUGGGAGCCCAAAUUAUCACAUCUGGAAUUUUUGUAGGUCUUUUUUGGUGUCCGUGGGCUGCUCUAGGGCCAUUGGUAGAAACUUAUAUUUUACUUGAUAGGUUAUUGUUCCUUCAAGAGCAAGGCAAUUCAGUGGAAGCAUUGUUGUUCCCUCUGUUUGAUCACCAAGAAAUGUGAUUAUAGUUGCCCGAAAAACUGAUGCGGAUACACUUACAACAUGACGUGGUAACAGUACUUGUCAACUCCUGAUUUACACAUGCAUUCUCUUGUAUGUUGUUCUUGCAUUCAGGUAGUUACUUUGAGCCACUUCACGAAGAAAUGGUAAGAUGUACCUCACUCAUCAAAAGAAUAUAAAAUGUUUGCUUUUAUUUCAGGCCUGUAAACCCGAUUAUUAUUACUGUGGUAUGUGAUCAGAAAGUUGUAUAUGUGGUAAGGCCAGAGCCAGUGGGUUGAAUCAACAUAUGUUUUAUGUGUAUUCAUUUAAAUUUGCAAGACAAUUGCGUUGAGAGAACACACACUUCUUAGAAAACAAAUUUAGGCUCUUAAUUGUGGUCUUCAUCUUCUUAUUGUUAUUGAAACUGUGAAUAUGAAAAGGAGACAGGUAUAGAUGUGCAAUGGUGCAAUAAGUUAUUUUGGAGCUCUGUGAGUCUUCAAGUGCAGAACAUGACAUCUGGCUUUGUUUCAUAUUUGGUUUUUAUUUCUGUUGGUUUUUGGGCUUGGUUGGGUCGCCUAUGAUGGGCUAGCCCGACCAAGAUCAUCUAACAUUUAAAUAAGAGAGGAAAAUAGUUGAAAGAAAAGAAGAAACUACUGGGUAGUUUCUCCCUCUCUCCCUCACUUAUCUGUAUACCAUUCAUGUCUAGACUUCUCUUCAAGAAAAAUUUCAGUGUUUGAGAGAGAGAAACAUGAAGGAACAACUUUCUUGUGCCCUUUCUUGCACCAUAAGCAUUUGAACAGAGAGUUUUCUUUCCAUUGUGAUUGAACACUCGACCUUGAGUGUAUUCUAGAAGUGAAUAAACAUGUGGUUCAACCCCCUAGAUCCUUGGAAUUUCACUUUUGCACUACUCUUUCAAGGUAAUUCAUGAAACUUGAAAUUCCAUUUAUUAUGUUUUAUGUUAUCAAUUUCCUUGAAAUAUCAAUUGCAUUCUCAGAAAGAAGUGUUCGGCUUUUAUCACCUGAUUCACUUUACUUUAUUUUAAAAAUCUAUAGGUACUUUUUGUGCAGCUACUCAUUUAGGUUUUGAGCUGCAUAAUUUGUCAUAGAUGGAGGAUGAUAUCUUUGUUACAAAAAUAAAAUAGAGUUUGUUGUGAAAUGAUAUUAAUAGAAAAUUUUCCAGCGUGAUCUCCAACUGGCUGGAAAUGGGAAUAUCUAUACAAAAGAUUCCUGUACAUAUCUCUGCUGAUUGCAUUUUGCUAUGUUUUUAUGAAAAUUUAUUCUUAGUAUUUUUAAUUACUUGAAAACUGCCCUUUAUUUUGUUGGCGUGUAUUGGAGAAAUUUAUGUGCUUAAGUACCUUCUUUCAGCAGAUAGUUGUGGCUAUCGUGGAGAGCAAAUUGUUCUAACAAAAUUUUGCCAUGGUAUUUUCUCCUUUUGUAUUUGACCAUGGUGUUCUGUCUGCGCACUGAAAUGGGGAAUUUCAACCUUCUGCGUGCAACCCCUAAAAUUCACUAUAUCACAGGUAGAACCCCGGUACCAACAGCCUUUUUGAAGUUGUGAGAACAAAUCCAAGCAGGGCUCUGAUCUGUCUAAUGGAUCAUGUCAUGGUAGCUGGAAAAAUCUAACUCUGUGGCUGACGCAGUAGUGGCCUAGACAGCCAAAUGAGUUACAUCAUGACCUCAAAUUAUGGGUGGAAACAUUGAAUCCAGCACCUGUUUGUCGCCGUGUGGCACAUGUUAUGCUAUGGUUGAUUGCCAGUUGCCCAUGCAGUGGCUAAUCUUUAUCCCUCUCCAUUGGUGCCUUGUGAGGCAUAGGACCUCUCAGGUUGGUCUCAUUGGCUUCUCAGAAAGAUGACAACGACUCAAUUAUCCAAGAGGAAGGAGGAAAAGGAUGGAAGAUGUAGUUGUGGAAUUUUUCAAUGCACAGUCUACCUGAAAAAUAAAGUUUGUGUUCUCAAGAUCUCAGGACCUGAACUUGUACUAGGGGAGACAUUCUGAAGAGUUUCAUCUCAUCUUCACUUUCGAAUGAUGGAGCCAACUUCUGAUAGAGAUAUUGUUCUAGCUUUCAGGUGGUCUCAUGACAGCCAUGGAUUUAUAUAGUCUACGUAACCCUGAUAGAUUCUGUGUCACCUCCUGACCUUGAUUUGGAUAUCUAUCAUUGGGAUCGAUGGCGGCGCGCAAUUGCAGGCCACCUGGAGCAGCCAGAGAGAUGACGGAUUUGCGCUGCAACUUUGUUUGUCCAUGCUGCCUGUCCAUUUCAUGUGAUUGGAGCUUUCCACCCUAGCCAAAGCUAAAAAUUCAACCUGAUCAAGUCUUCCAGCGACCACAGAACUUUGACUCAUGCCUCCAAUCCAAAGCAAGUGUUAAAGUAGAAACUGCUAGAUGAUCAGCAUGGUUAUCAAUUUCUACUACUUUGGAUACACAUUUGGUGCUGUAUUUUAUGAGCUCCAUCCUGGAAAUCAAGGAAGUAUAAGUUCUUAUUGGGUCUUAGAACUGUACUAUCUUUUCAUGAAUUGCUAGGGCUUGGUUUGCUAUCCUUCAUUGUUCAGACUCUUUGUUCAUAAAAUCAUCUAAGUUCAAGCUAA